GACGAACCGUCCUAACGUUGUUCGGAAUCACUGGGCUUAAAGGGCGCGUAGGCGGCUUGCCAAGUCAGGGGUGAAAUCCUGCAGCUUAACUGUAGAAGGGCCUUUGAUACUGGCGAGCUCGAGGGAGGUAGGGGUAUGUGGAACUUCCGGUGGAGCGGUGAAAUGCGUUGAUAUCGGAAGGAACGCCGGUGGCGAAAGCGACGUACUGGACCUCUUCUGACGCUGAGGCGCGAAAAGCUAGGGGAGCAAACGGG
This 254-nucleotide ribosomal RNA is filed under the name uncultured bacterium. Its description in RNAcentral is "partial 16S ribosomal RNA". It matches the Rfam family "Bacterial small subunit ribosomal RNA", at positions 524 to 776 of the family's 1533-position model. The record is from RNAcentral.